AACGCACCUUGCACUCUUUGGUUAUUCCGAAGAGUAUGCCUGUUUGAGUGUCGCGAACCUCUCAACCCCGCUUCAAUUAUUGAAGUAGUUUGGGCUUGGAUCAUGGUCAUCUGUUGGACUUGCACAAGUUCAACUUGACUGAAAUACAACAAGCUGGAUAGAGACUUGUGCGGCUUGACCUGAUGUUGUAGUAAUCAACUCAUUAGGGACGCAUGGCUUCUAAGGAGCUUAGACAAAUUAGACUAUACAAAUCAGACCUCAAAUCAGGUAGGACUACCCGCUGAACUUAA
Molecule: unclassified non-coding RNA, 290 nt
Filed under: Ascochyta sp.
Lineage: Eukaryota; Fungi; Ascomycota; Dothideomycetes; Pleosporales; Didymellaceae
Description: partial contains 5.8S ribosomal RNA, internal transcribed spacer 2, and large subunit ribosomal RNA
Source: RNAcentral